AACGAACGCUGGCGGCAUGCCUAACACAUGCAAGUCGAACGAAGCCUUCGGGCUUAGUGGCGCACGGGUGCGUAACGCGUGGGAAUCUGCCCUUGGGGUCGUAAUAACAGUUAGAAAUAAAUGCUAAUACCGGAUGAUGUCUUCGGACCAAAGAUUUAUCGCUCAACGAUGGGCCCGCGUAGGAUUAGGUCGUUGGUCGGGUAAUGGCCCACCAAGCCGACGAUCCGUAGCUGGUCCGAGCGGGUGAUCAGCCACACUGGGUCUGAGACACGGCCCAGCCUCCUACUGUAAGUAGCAGUGGUGAAUUAUGGACAAUGGGCGAAAGCCUCAUCCAGCAAUGCCGCGUGAGUAAUGAAGCCCUUAGGGUUGUAAAGCUCUUUUACCCGGGAUGCUAAUGACAGUACCGGGAGAAUCAGCUCCGGCUAACUCCGUGCCAGCCGCCGCCGUAA
Molecule: ribosomal RNA, 449 nt
Filed under: uncultured bacterium
Lineage: Bacteria
Description: partial 16S ribosomal RNA
Rfam family: Bacterial small subunit ribosomal RNA
Source: RNAcentral